GAUAUAGCCGUUUGGAUGCUCAGAAAAGGACUCAUGACAGUUGGAAAUGGUUUUGAAAAACUGUGUGCAGGAUCAGUCUUGCAUCAGUCUUGAAACAGUCUUGACUGUACCAGCAAAUAAGAUGAACCUUCAUCCUUCCUUUCUUGUGGCAUGCAGCUGUAUAAUAGCUCUAAGUGCUGAUCAGUAGUAGCCUUAGCUUGAGAAUAAAAACCAGCUGGAAUAGUACAUGAGGAUAUAAGACAAAAAUGUACUUCUAUGACA
Molecule: long non-coding RNA, 261 nt
Filed under: Trifolium pratense (red clover)
Lineage: Eukaryota; Viridiplantae; Streptophyta; Magnoliopsida; Fabales; Fabaceae
Description: long non-coding RNA (TPRA_LNC012036)
Source: RNAcentral